This 461-nucleotide ribosomal RNA is filed under the name uncultured Desulfobulbus sp. RNAcentral describes it as "bacterial SSU rRNA". It matches the Rfam family "Bacterial small subunit ribosomal RNA", at positions 927 to 1382 of the family's 1533-position model. Lineage: Bacteria; Pseudomonadati; Thermodesulfobacteriota; Desulfobulbia; Desulfobulbales; Desulfobulbaceae. The record is from RNAcentral.
AAGCGGUGGAGUAUGUGGUUUAAUUCGAUGCAACGCGAAGAACCUUACCUGGUCUUGACAUCCCGGAGACCCUUAGGAAACUAGGGGGUGCUUCCAUCUGGAAGAAUCUGGAGACAGGUGCUGCAUGGCUGUCGUCAGCUCGUGUCGUGAGAUGUUGGGUUAAGUCCCGCAACGAGCGCAACCCUUGCCUUUAGUUGCCAGCAGUUCGGCUGGGCACUCUAAAGGGACUGCCGGUGUUAAGCCGGAGGAAGGUGGGGAUGACGUCAAGUCCUCAUGGCCUUUAUGACCAGGGCUACACACGUACUACAAUGGCCGAUACAAAGGGCAGCGACACUGCGAGGUGAAGCCAAUCCCGUAAAAUCGGUCUCAGUCCGGAUUGGAGUCUGCAACUCGACUCCAUGAAGUUGGAAUCGCUAGUAAUCGUGGAUCAGCAUGCCACGGUGAAUACGUUCCCGGGCCUU